GUUGUGCUACCUCCAUUCCAAAAUUCUUGUCUUAGAUUUAUAGAUAUCAAUGUAUCUAGUCACGUUUUAGUAUUUAGAUACAUUCAUUUCUAGAUAAGCGUAAGACAAGAAUUUUGGAACGGAGGGAGUAUCUA
Molecule: microRNA precursor, 134 nt
Filed under: Hordeum vulgare
Lineage: Eukaryota; Viridiplantae; Streptophyta; Magnoliopsida; Poales; Poaceae
Description: microRNA MIR1122
Rfam family: MIR1120/MIR1122 microRNA precursor family
Source: RNAcentral